Molecule: ribosomal RNA, 1088 nt
Filed under: fungal endophyte
Lineage: Eukaryota; Fungi
Description: eukaryotic LSU rRNA
Rfam family: Eukaryotic large subunit ribosomal RNA (bases 511-1088)
Source: RNAcentral
GGAUCAUUACAAGACAUCGUGUCCCAAAACCCAUGUGAACAUACCUGUUGCCUCGGCGGAGCUACCCGGUAGCUACCCGGUAGCGCCGCCAGAGGACCAUUAAACUCUUGUUAUUUUUGGAAAUCUGAGCGUCUUAUUUAAUAAGUUAAAACUUUCAACAACGGAUCUCUUGGUUCUGGCAUCGAUGAAGAACGCAGCGAAAUGCGAUAAGUAAUGUGAAUUGCAGAAUUCAGUGAAUCAUCGAAUCUUUGAACGCACAUUGCGCCCAGUGGUAUUCCACUGGGCAUGCCUGUUCGAGCGUUAUUAAGUCCCAAUUAAGCCCUGCUUAGUGUUGGAAAUCUGCGAAUUUAACUAUUCCAACUGCAAGAUGUUUAGUCUUGCCGGGGUAGUUAAUAGCAGUUUCUUAAAUAUAGUUGGCGGAUCUAUGGUAUCCUCUCAGCGUAGUAGCUUCCGUUCUCGCUAUUGUAGGCGCCUAAGACCCUGCCGUAAAACCCCUAAAUUUUAAAGGAUUAACCUCGAAUCAGGUAGGAAUACCCGCUGAACUUAAGCAUAUCAAUAAGCGGAGGAAAAGAAACCAACAGGGAUUGCCCUAGUAACGGCGAGUGAAGCGGCAACAGCUCAAAUUUGAAAUCUGGCCUUCGGGUCCGAGUUGUAAUUUGCAGAGGAUGUUUUUGGCGCGGUGCCUUCCGAGUUCCCUGGAACGGGACGCCUUAGAGGGUGAGAGCCCCGUACGGUUGGACGCUAAGCCUCUGUAAAACUCCUUCGACGAGUCGAGUAGUUUGGGAAUGCUGCUCAAAAUGGGAGGUAAAUUCCUUCUAAAGCUAAAUACCGGCCAGAGACCGAUAGCGCACAAGUAGAGUGAUCGAAAGAUGAAAAGCACUUUGAAAAGAGGGUUAAAUAGCACGUGAAAUUGUUGAAAGGGAAGCGUUUAUGACCAGACUUUUUCCUGGCGAAUCAUCCGGUGUUUUCACCGGUGCACUUCGCCUGGUUUAGGCCAGCAUCGGUUUCGGUAGGGGGAUAAAAGCUUCGGGAAUGUGGCUCCCUCGGGAGUGUUAUAGCCCGUUGCACAAUACCCUUAUGGGGACCGA